CCUACGGGUGGCAGCAGUGGGGAAUAUUGGGCAAUGGGCGAAAGCCUGACCCAGCAACGCCGCGUGAAGGAAGAAGGCUUUCGGGUUGUAAACUUCUUUUGACAGGGAAGAGCAGAAGACGGUACCUGUCAAAUAAGCCACGGCUCACUACGUGCCAGCAGCCGCGGUAAUACGUAUGGUGCACGCGUUAUCCGGAUUUACUGGGUGUAAAGGGAGCGCAGGCGGCACGGCAAGCCUGAUGUGAAAGCCCGCGGCUCAACCGCGGGAUUGCAUUGGGAACUACGGGGCUGGAGUGCCGGAGAGGUAGGCGGAAUUCCUAGUGUAGCGGUGAAAUGCGUAGAUAUUAGGAGGAACACCAGUGGCGAAGGCGGCCUACUGGACGGUGACUGACGCUGAGGCUCGAAAGCGUGGGGAGCAAACAGGAUUAGAUACCCCAGUAGUC
Molecule: ribosomal RNA, 442 nt
Filed under: uncultured bacterium
Lineage: Bacteria
Description: partial 16S ribosomal RNA
Rfam family: Bacterial small subunit ribosomal RNA
Source: RNAcentral